This 83-nucleotide small nuclear RNA is filed under the name Suricata suricatta (meerkat). Its description in RNAcentral is "U4 spliceosomal RNA (ENSSSUG00005012490.1)". It matches the Rfam family "U4 spliceosomal RNA", at positions 1 to 83 of the family's 138-position model. From Rfam's summary of the family: U4 small nuclear RNA (U4 snRNA) is a component of the major U2-dependent spliceosome. The structure of U4 snRNA from yeast and human has been reported. Lineage: Eukaryota; Metazoa; Chordata; Mammalia; Carnivora; Herpestidae. The record is from Rfam by way of RNAcentral.
AGCUCUGUGCAGUGGCAGAAUCAAAGCCAAUGAGGUUUAUCCGAGGCAUAAUUACUGCUAAUUAAAAAUGUUUCUAAUAUGAC